GACGAACGCUGGCGGCGUGCUUAACACAUGCAAGUCGAACGGAAAGGCUCCAGCUUGCUGGAGUACUCGAGUUGCGAACGGGUGAGUAACACGUGGGUGAUCUGCCCUGCACUUCGGGAUAAGCCUGGGAAACUGGGUCUAAUACCGGAUAGGACCGCACUUUGGUGUGUGUGGUGGAAAGGUUUUUCUGGUGUGGGAUGAGCUCGCGGCCUAUCAGUUUGUUGGUGGGGUAAUGGCCUACCAAGACGGCGACGGGUAGCCGGCCUGGGAGGGUGGACGGUCACAUUGGGACUGAGAUACGGCCAAGACUCCUACGGGUGGCAGCAGUGGGGAAUAUUGCACAAUGGGGGAAACCCUGAUGCAGCGACGCCGCGUGGGGGAUGAAGGCCUUCGGGUUGUAAACUCCUUUCGCUAGGGACGAAGCUUUUUGUGACGGUACCUGGAGAAGAAGCACCGGCUAACUACGUG
Molecule: ribosomal RNA, 468 nt
Filed under: uncultured bacterium
Lineage: Bacteria
Description: partial 16S ribosomal RNA
Rfam family: Bacterial small subunit ribosomal RNA
Source: RNAcentral